CUACGGGCGCACCAGUGGGGAAUAUUGGGCAAUGGAGGAAACUCUGACCCAGCGACGCCGCGUGAGGGAUGAAGGCCUUCGGGUUGUAAACCUCUUUCAGCAGGGAAUAAGCGAAAGUGAAGGUACCUGCAGAAGAAGCACCGGCUAACUAUGUGCCAGCAGCCGCGGUAAUACAUAGGGUGCAAGCGUUGUCCGGAAUUAUUGGGCGUAAAGAGCUCGUAGGUGGUCGAUCACGUCGGAUGUGAAAUUCUGAGGCUUAACCUCGGACCCGCAUUCGAUACGGGUUGAUUAGAGUGUGGUAGGGGAGACUGGAAUUCCUGGUGUAGCGGUGGAAUGCGCAGAUAUCAGGAGGAACACCGAUGGCGAAGGCAGGUCUCUGGGCCAUUACUGACACUGAGGAGCGAAAGCGUGGGGAGCGAACAGGAUUAGAUACCCCAGUAGUC
This 443-nucleotide ribosomal RNA is filed under the name uncultured bacterium. Its description in RNAcentral is "partial 16S ribosomal RNA". It matches the Rfam family "Bacterial small subunit ribosomal RNA", at positions 339 to 795 of the family's 1533-position model. The record is from RNAcentral.